CUCUCUCAAACCUUCGGGUUUGGUAUUGAGUGAUACUCUGUCAAGGGUUAACUUGAAAUAUUGACUUAGCAAGAGUGUACUAAUAAGCAGUCUUUCUGAAAUAAUGUAUUAGGUUCUUCCAACUCGUUAUAUCAGCUAGGCAGGUUUAGAAGUAUUUUAGGCUCGGCUUAACAACAAUAAACUAAAAG
RNAcentral lists this unclassified non-coding RNA (188 nucleotides) under Hansenula anomala. Its description in RNAcentral is "Wickerhamomyces anomalus internal transcriber spacer 2". Lineage: Eukaryota; Fungi; Ascomycota; Saccharomycetes; Phaffomycetales; Wickerhamomycetaceae. The record is from RNAcentral.